This 247-nucleotide ribosomal RNA is filed under the name Resupinatus sp. 2 CRJH-2017. RNAcentral's name for it is "partial 28S ribosomal RNA". It matches the Rfam family "Eukaryotic large subunit ribosomal RNA", at positions 104 to 344 of the family's 3401-position model. Lineage: Eukaryota; Fungi; Basidiomycota; Agaricomycetes; Agaricales; Resupinataceae. The record is from RNAcentral.
AAAGCUCAAAUUUAAAAUCUGGCAGGCUUUGUCUGUCCGAGUUGUAAUCUAGAGAAGUGCUAUCCGCGCUGAACCGUGUACAAGUCUCCUGGGAUGGAGCGUCACAGAGGGUGAGAAUCCCGUCUAUGACACGGACUACCUGUGCUUUGUGAUGCGCUCUCAAAGAGUCGAGUUGUUUGGGAAUGCAGCUCAAAAUGGGUGGUAAAUUCCAUCUAAAGCUAAAUAUUGGCGAGAGACCGAUAGCGAA